RNAcentral lists this ribosomal RNA (467 nucleotides) under uncultured bacterium. RNAcentral's name for it is "partial 16S ribosomal RNA". It matches the Rfam family "Bacterial small subunit ribosomal RNA", at positions 28 to 506 of the family's 1533-position model. The record is from RNAcentral.
GACGAACGCUGGCGGCGUGCUUAACACAUGCAAGUCGAACGGAAAGGCCCUGCUUUUGUGGGGUGCUCGAGUGGCGAACGGGUGAGUAACACGUGAGUAACCUGCCCUUGACUUUGGGAUAACUUCAGGAAACUGGGGCUAAUACCGGAUAGGAGCUCCUGCUGCAUGGUGGGGGUUGGAAAGUUUCGGCGGUUGGGGAUGGACUCGCGGCUUAUCAGCUUGUUGGUGGGGUAGUGGCUUACCAAGGCUUUGACGGGUAGCCGGCCUGAGAGGGUGACCGGCCACAUUGGGACUGAGAUACGGCCCAGACUCCUACGGGAGGCAGCAGUGGGGAAUAUUGCACAAUGGGCGGAAGCCUGAGGCAGCAACGCCGCGUGCGGGUUGACGGCCUUCGGGUUGUAAACCGCUUUCGCCUGUGACGAAGCGUGAGUGACGGUAAUGGGUAAAGAAGCACCGGCUAACUACGU